Molecule: ribosomal RNA, 478 nt
Filed under: uncultured bacterium
Lineage: Bacteria
Description: partial 16S ribosomal RNA
Rfam family: Bacterial small subunit ribosomal RNA
Source: RNAcentral
ACUCAAAUGAAUUGACGGGGACCCGCACAAGCAGCGGAGUGUGUGGUUUAAUUCGAUGCAACGCGAAGCACCUUACCUGGGGUCAACCUCUUCCGAAGCCCGGGUUAUGCCGGGGGCCGCAAGGCGGGAGGGGAGGUGCUGCAUGGCUGUCGUCAGCUCGUGCCGUGAGGUGUUGGGUUAAGUCCCCUAACGAGCGCAACCCCCGGGGUCGGUUGAAACUCCGACGCGACUGCCCCGCACAACGGGGAGGCAGGUGGGGAUGAUGUCAAGUCAGCACGGCCCUUUUGCCCAGGGCGACACACACACUACAAUGGCCGGGACAACGGGUAGCCACGGGGCGACUCGGAGCCAAUCCCUUAAACCCGGUCUCAGUUCAGAUGGCAGGCUGCAACUCGCCUGCCUGAAGGCGGAGUUGCUAGUAACCGCCGGUCAGCAUACGGCGGUGAAUACGUUCCCGGGUCUUGUACACACCGCCCGU